GUAGGGUGCGAGCGUUAAUCGGAAUUACUGGGCGUAAAGCGUGCGCAGGCGGUUCGUUAAGUUCGUUGUGAAAGCCCCGGGCUCAACCUGGGAGGUGCAAUGGAAACUGGCGGGCUAGAGUGUGGCAGAGGGGGGUGGAAUUCCACGUGUAGCAGUGAAAUGCGUAGAGAUGUGGAGGAACACCGAUGGCGAAGGCAACCCCCUGGGCUAACACUGACGCUCAGGCACGAAAGCGUGGGGAGCAAACAGGAUUAGAUACCCUGGUAGUCCACGCCCUAAACCAUGUCAACUGGGUGUUGGGGAAGCGAUUCCUCAGUACCGCAGCUAACGCGUGAAGUUGACCGCCUGGGGAGUACGGCCGCAAGGUUA
This 369-nucleotide ribosomal RNA is filed under the name uncultured bacterium. RNAcentral describes it as "bacterial SSU rRNA". It matches the Rfam family "Bacterial small subunit ribosomal RNA", at positions 527 to 896 of the family's 1533-position model. The record is from RNAcentral.